This 850-nucleotide ribosomal RNA is filed under the name uncultured euryarchaeote. RNAcentral's name for it is "bacterial SSU rRNA". The stretch from base 1 to 706 matches the Rfam family "Archaeal small subunit ribosomal RNA", at positions 339 to 1478 of the family's 1478-position model. Lineage: Archaea; Methanobacteriati; Methanobacteriota. The record is from RNAcentral.
GCGACUAUAUAUCACAAUCGCACAGAAAGGGUAGAUAAGGAGAACCCCAAGUCGCUCAUGUAUAACAUGGGCUUUUGCCAAGUGUAAAUAGCUUGGAGAAUAAGUGGGGGGUAAGACUGGGGCCAGCAGCCGCGGUAACACCAGCGCCACGAGUGGCAACCAGCGUUAUUUGGCCUAAAGCGUCCGUAGCUGGUUUGGAAAAUCCCUUGUGAAAUCAUCGGGCCUAACCUGAUGGCGUGCAGGGGACACUACCAAACUCGAGACCGGGAGGAGUCAGAGGUAUUCAAGGGGGAGCGGUAAAAUGCUAUAAUCCCUUGAGGACCACCUGUGGCGAAGGCGUCUGACUAGAACGGAUCUGACAGUGAGGGACGAAAGCCGGGGGAGCGAUCCGGAUUAGAUAUUGAGUUUCUGCUAUAAUCGGAAUUGUCCGAUUUUCAUCAUGAUCGUUAAAAUUUACUAUGAUGAAAUGUGUGAUGGUUCAAUACGAUGUGGAAAUUCAACUAAUUACCCGAGUAGUCCUGGCCGUAAACGCUGUGAGCAAGGCGUUGCAUGUUCUACAAGAAUAUGCAGUGUCGAAACGAAGGUGUUAAGCUCACCGCCUGGGAAGUAUGGUCGCAAGACUGAAACUUAAAGGAAUUGGCGGGGGAAAGGGCGAAUUCGCGGCCGCUAAAUUCAAUCCGCCCUAUAGUGAGUCGUAUUACAAUUCACUGGCGGGGGUUUUACAAACGCUCGCAGGGGUGAAACUUAAAGGAAUUGGGGGGGGAAAGGCGAAUUCGUUUAACCCUGCGGGACUAGUCCCUUUAGUGAGGGUAAUUCUGGACUUGGCGUAACCUGGCUAGCGUUUUCUGGA